CUAAAAAAAAUUCACAAGCACCUCAAUAUUAUUAUAAUUCAAUGACAAUGCCAAUGUCUUCUCAACAUACUUAUUUGGAAGUAGAAGAUAUACAAAUUAAUGUAAUAUGUUUCAAAUAUUAACGGUCAGUCCAAAGUCAUAUUCCACAAUAUUCUAAUCACAGUUUUAGUAAUACUUCUCUCAAUCACAAUUCUUCACAAGCAAAUAAUAAAAGCAAAGAAAAUAAAGAGGUAGCACCAAGCUUACCCUGGCUUAUGACUUUCACAGUCUGGCCCCGAUCUCCCU
Molecule: long non-coding RNA, 285 nt
Filed under: Physcomitrium patens
Lineage: Eukaryota; Viridiplantae; Streptophyta; Bryopsida; Funariales; Funariaceae
Description: long non-coding RNA (PPAT_LNC014715)
Source: RNAcentral